UUCAGUGACCACCAUUUUACCUAAUGCUAAUGAAUGUUUUGCUUUAUUUUUUCUAGGUGAGCAUCUUAUUGCCCUGGAAAAGAUUGUGGUUUUGUUUCAAGGAAGAAGAGAAGAAUGACAUUUUUGCAGAAAUCGGAUAUUGUUUUGCUUUGGAGAGGGAAUGCAUUCCAAUUUAAAAAGAAAUUCCAGUUCCAGCUUGUGAGUAAUUGACCUUUUCUGAUGCUAUUUUUUUAAUAUUAAAAAGAGUAAGUAAAAAUUGUUGCUAUAUAUUCUUUUCCAUUCUUGUGGUGUGUUGGAUGUAAGAUAACUGAAACAAAGCAGAAUAUGUGGAUUACAAUUUAGUCUGUUUGAUCACAUAGCUUCAGGCCUAGGUUGACAAAUGGUUAGUAACUGCACUUAAUUAAAAGGAUUCUAGUUUUGCCUGUUUGUUCAAUCCUUUCAGUUCUCCCAAUUAAUGAAUACAUACAUCCACACAAACAAAGGGUGAAACAUUCCUUAUUUAGUAUGAAAAUAUCUGAGACUUUCAUGAGUUUACUAAAG
Molecule: long non-coding RNA, 540 nt
Organism: Macaca nemestrina (pig-tailed macaque)
Lineage: Eukaryota; Metazoa; Chordata; Mammalia; Primates; Cercopithecidae
Source: Ensembl